RNAcentral lists this long non-coding RNA (576 nucleotides) under Equus asinus (donkey). RNAcentral describes it as "lncRNA (ENSEASG00005028817.1)". Lineage: Eukaryota; Metazoa; Chordata; Mammalia; Perissodactyla; Equidae. The record is from RNAcentral.
CAAAGAGGGAAGGAAGGGUUUUGCCAGUAGAGGAAACAGCACACUCAAAGGUAUGCAGAGCAGACACUGGAUGGUGUGUGUGGGUGGAGAACUGUGAUGUCACAGCUGCUUCAGUGUGGAAUGUGGACAGCAGGGGACCUCCCUCUCUCCCACUUUAGGAUCUUUGGUCAGGAAGUGGUGCUGGAUGGAACCUCAGACUGACGUUACUGUAGAACUUGACAGGACUUCAAAGGACAAUGUUUCCGACCUCUUCUCCACCUAGGCUGAUGGUUUUCUCCUUCAGAUUGUGCACAUUUAGGGUGAAUCCUCCCACAGUUGGCUGCUGACACUCAUAGAUCUCAAAGUGAAGAAGAUCAAAAAUGGAAGUUUGGAAGUAAAACUCACAGCCCCUUCCCCAAGUUUGAAGUGCAAUUCCACCAGGAUUCCAGAGGGCACCUGCAUCCCCUUCCUUCUACCUACAUCCCAGGAUCACCUCACACUCAGAAGGGGCUUUCACCUGGUUUUUCUCUCCCCAAACAAAAGCUACAUUUGGCUCUUGGCUUGGCUUCCAACCAAGUUUUGGGCAGAGGGGCUGAU